This is a long non-coding RNA of Pipistrellus kuhlii (Kuhl's pipistrelle), 1089 nucleotides long. RefSeq lists it as uncharacterized. The transcript has 3 exons. The record is from RefSeq and is a predicted model, not a curated record. Lineage: Eukaryota; Metazoa; Chordata; Mammalia; Chiroptera; Vespertilionidae.
GGGCGCAGUCGGGGGAUUGCCCACCGGCUGGGGGGCGACGGUGGGUGAGUGGCGGGCGUGAGGGCGUGAGGAGCAGCCUGAGACAGGAUAUUUAGUGGAAAUAAUGCAGUGGUUGUCAGGAAACGCGAGUGCAGCCACAUGGCUACUGCCAGUUCUGCAGCGAGGAUAUCCGGUGGCUGCAGAGUCUGUAAUUUAGAAUAAAAAAGAGCUCUCCCAAGCCCCGAGAGGCUGACCUCAGCGCCGCGUGGCGGUGGUGCGCCCGGCGCCCUCCGUGGAGACGGUCCAGCUGGUGACAGGUGGGGGAAGCCUCUUCCGAGGGGAUGUUAUAGCUUCAGAGAUCUUGCAAAUACUCUCCCCUUCGAAUUCAUGUUGCAAAAUUCAGCCAGCCUCUUCGGCAACAGGGUGGGGGGUCGAGGACGUGACAUUUAUACAAUGACUACCAAGCAAGCCUGUAAAUGUGAGUUAGCACAUCCUGCAUAAAACUGACAGUGAAGCAUCAAGCCUAAAUCACCUAUCUCUGUUCCGGAGAAGAUUCAGCAUACCACGACACAAGUGGUUGAUUAAAUGAGAAAACGUGUGGCAAGCAUCUGGUGUAGCAAAGGAGAAAUGGAAACUGUUGGGAGAUGGGCCCUGGCUUGGACCCAGAGGCAGCGUGCGGAUGCGAUGGCUGAUCCCUGUCAUCUGGACUUGCCUGAAUGUAGAAGCUCAGUCAAGGCUGGGAGCAGAAUGCCAAUGCUGUCCGCAGGGCGGGACAAUGGUUCUCCACAUCAGGCAAGCAAGUCCCUUGAACUGAGCCUGCACUCUAUUUCCCCCCUCUUUUCUCUCUUAAUCCCCCCAAAGUUAGGUCUCCCUUCCAGCUUCACUCGUGGAACCAUCAGUGGGCAACUCAUUUGUAAACUAACUUCAGGGAGCUGUACACUUUCCUUCAACUAUUUUGAAGAGUAGAGGAAAUACUGACUUUCCUUGCCCUGCUUCAAACCAGAGGUCUUUAUUAGUUUCAGUUACCUGAGGGGGGAAAAAUUAUUAAAACAACUCUUGGCAACUUGUAAGAAACAGAAAAGGAUUUCCUCAAAAGAAUUUGCAUCACAC